GUACCAGCUGCCAAGAGCCUGGAUCCAGGACAAGUCUCCUUCCUGUUUCUGUAGAUCACUGUCAGGUUUGCUGACUCUUUGGGGAUCUGGAAGGCACCUCUGAAUUGCAACAAGAGCUCACGAUCCCCUCUGCCACCGGAGAAGAGCCACGAGCUCCCGAGUGCAGCGAAUUCCCAGUCC
Molecule: long non-coding RNA, 180 nt
Organism: Nothoprocta perdicaria
Lineage: Eukaryota; Metazoa; Chordata; Aves; Tinamiformes; Tinamidae
Exons: 2
Source: RefSeq, a predicted model, not a curated record